GGGGUUGUAGCUCAGUGGUAGAGCACUUGCCUCACAUGUGUGAGGCCCUGGGUUCAACCCUCAGCACCA
Molecule: transfer RNA, 69 nt
Filed under: Ictidomys tridecemlineatus (thirteen-lined ground squirrel)
Lineage: Eukaryota; Metazoa; Chordata; Mammalia; Rodentia; Sciuridae
Description: Spermophilus tridecemlineatus (thirteen-lined ground squirrel) tRNA
Rfam family: tRNA
About the family: Transfer RNA (tRNA) molecules are approximately 80 nucleotides in length.
Source: Rfam by way of RNAcentral